This 863-nucleotide ribosomal RNA is filed under the name uncultured bacterium. RNAcentral's name for it is "bacterial SSU rRNA". It matches the Rfam family "Bacterial small subunit ribosomal RNA", at positions 1 to 898 of the family's 1533-position model. The record is from RNAcentral.
UUAGAGUUUGAUCCUGGCUCAGGAUGAACGCUGGCGGCGUGCCUAACACAUGCAAGUCGAGCGAUUCUCUUCGGAGAAGAGCGGCGGACGGGUGAGUAACGCGUGGGUAACCUGCCCUGUACACACGGAUAACAUACCGAAAGGUAUGCUAAUACGAGAUAAUAUGCUUUUAUCGCAUGGUAGAAGUAUCAAAGCUUUUGCGGUACAGGAUGGACCCGCGUCUGAUUAGCUAGUUGGUAAGGUAACGGCUUACCAAGGCGACGAUCAGUAGCCGACCUGAGAGGGUGAUCGGCCACAUUGGAACUGAGACACGGUCCAAACUCCUACGGGAGGCAGCAGUGGGGAAUAUUGCACAAUGGGCGAAAGCCUGAUGCAGCAACGCCGCGUGAGCGAUGAAGGCCUUCGGGUCGUAAAGCUCUGUCCUCAAGGAAGAUAAUGACGGUACUUGAGGAGGAAGCCCCGGCUAACUACGUGCCAGCAGCCGCGGUAAUACGUAGGGGGCUAGCGUUAUCCGGAAUUACUGGGCGUAAAGGGUGCGUAGGUGGUUUCUUAAGUCAGAGGUGAAAGGCUACGGCUCAACCGUAGUAAGCCUUUGAAACUGGGAAACUUGAGUGCAGGAGAGGAGAGUGGAAUUCCUAGUGUAGCGGUGAAAUGCGUAGAUAUUAGGAGGAACACCAGUUGCGAAGGCGGCUCUCUGGACUGUAACUGACACUGAGGCACGAAAGCGUGGGGAGCAAACAGGAUUAGAUACCCUGGUAGUCCACGCCGUAAACGAUGAGUACUAGCUGUCGGAGGUUACCCCCUUCGGUGGCGCAGCUAACGCAUUAAGUACUCCGCCUGGGAAGUACGCUCGCAAGAGUGAA